GCGGUGCAAAACAGAUUACAAACACAAUGGACAAUUGAACCGUCAUAUUCACGAACGUAUUGAAAACGUUGUUUGGAUCUUAACAAUUUGGAGGAGUACACUGCAUGAACUGACAGUCAAACAACUUUCUUUGGUGUAUUUCCGGUUUCAUCCCUCCCCCAAUUAAAGAUUCCAUCAUGUGUGUUGAUAUUCAAACCUACCGAGCUCGAAUAGGAACGAACAAGUUUGCAUUUGGCUCCGAUGUUGUAACUUCAAGUAUAUCAGUCAACUUUAGCCUUUUCUUGAAAAGCACGACGAUUUCUCUAUUCGUGAUUGUUAUGUGCCUUGUGGUGAGGUCAGGCGCCUACGAUUUCAGUCUUACAGAUGCCGUUGAUGUAGCUAACCAGAAGAAGGCAGAACAGACUUUGGAGUUGCAAUUGCCAGGUAUUGAUGCAGUCCGAUAUAUACCUGCCAUUUUGGAUCCUUUGUGGAACAGUAUGGUUUUAAAACAGAGAGUUUAAGGGUUGACGGGAGCCCUUUUAUUUAUUGGUUUACUCUUACUGAGAGCGGGAAUAGAACCAAACCCAGGCCCUAAACCAGAAUUCCCUACGGUGAUUGCACUUACGGACAAGCUGAAACUGACAGUUUAGUGUGGCAAGUUGCAUGAAGUAUAGAACGCGUGCUUGUUAGUGGAUAAUGGAUUUGUUACGCAAAAUCAAAAUCUUUUAAGGGUCACUUUUCCAGUUUGGGAUGAGUAUAAACCAUAUUCGGCGGUAAGUAUAGACCAAAAUGACACAUUAUAAGAAUUAGGUGAUAUGUCUUUGUUUCCAUGCAAGAUAAAAAAAAUCACCGACUGAAAACAAAAAAGUGGGGCUUUUUUACCGAUUUCAACGACCAGUAUGCAAUGACUUUGUUUACUUGUUGUUUUUUGUUCGUUCGCCCUAAUAAUGAAACAAAUCGAUGACUAUGACAUCAUCCUCUAGUUGCAUAUUGAAUGACAGAUUAAAUGAAUGUAU
Mya arenaria is the source of this 995-nucleotide long non-coding RNA. RefSeq lists it as uncharacterized. The transcript has 4 exons. Lineage: Eukaryota; Metazoa; Mollusca; Bivalvia; Myida; Myidae. The record is from RefSeq and is a predicted model, not a curated record.